GGUUGGGAUGACGGUACCCAAAGAAUAAGCACCGGCUAACUUCGUGCCAGCAGCCGCGGUAAUACGAAGGGUGCAAGCGUUACUCGGAAUUACUGGGCGUAAAGCGUGCGUAGGUGGUUAUUUAAGUCCGUUGUGAAAUCCCUGGGCUCAACCUGGGAACUGCAGUGGAUACUGGAUGACUAGAAUGUGGUAGAGGGUAAUGGAAUUCCUGGUGUAGCAGUGAAAUGCGUAGAGAUCAGGAGGAACAUCCAUGGCGAAGGCAACUACCUGGACCAGCAUU
Molecule: ribosomal RNA, 280 nt
Filed under: uncultured bacterium
Lineage: Bacteria
Description: partial 16S ribosomal RNA
Rfam family: Bacterial small subunit ribosomal RNA
Source: RNAcentral